UACGCAGGGGGCAAGCGUUGUCCGGAAUUAUUGGGCGUAAAGCGCGCGCAGGCGGUCUCUUAAGUCUGAUGUGAAAGCCCACGGCUCAACCGUGGAGGGUCAUUGGAAACUGGGGGACUUGAGUGCAGGAGAGGAAAGUGGAAUUCCACGUGUAGCGGUGAAAUGCGUAGAGAUGUGGAGGAACACCAGUGGCGAAGGCGACUUUCUGGCCUGUAACUGACGCUGAGGCGCGAAAGCGUGGGUAGCGAGCAGG
RNAcentral lists this unclassified non-coding RNA (253 nucleotides) under uncultured Caryophanales bacterium. RNAcentral describes it as "uncultured Bacillales bacterium contains 16S-23S intergenic spacer region". It matches the Rfam family "Bacterial small subunit ribosomal RNA", at positions 524 to 776 of the family's 1533-position model. The record is from RNAcentral. Lineage: Bacteria; Bacillati; Bacillota; Bacilli; Caryophanales.